This is a long non-coding RNA of Oncorhynchus kisutch (coho salmon), 2358 nucleotides long. Lineage: Eukaryota; Metazoa; Chordata; Actinopteri; Salmoniformes; Salmonidae. The record is from Ensembl.
GAAAUGACUCAUCAAUACAGCAUUCAUUUUCGGUGAGGAUAAACAUAGUUGCACAUGAUCCCAACACUUGCUCACUAAAGCAUACUUACCAGAAGUCCACUGGCAUGAUUUGAUAAUACAAUGAUGUGCAUUGCAAGCAAAUAUGGUUCUGGACAGAUAGCUUACAGUGAUAAAACACUGCAUUUCUGACAUCUAUUUCCCCUUGCAGUGUAUGUUGGAAUCCCCCAUGGGGUACAAAACAAAUCUUUGCAAUUGGCUCAAUCUGGAAUGGGUGGGUAGAGUUCACUCUUUAAAACUGUCGGAUUGGUCCAUGAUGUGUAAACUCCACCCUCCAGCAGACCAGUGCACACCAGCUGCAUGAAAUCAAGAGCACCUAAUCGCAAUUGGGAAAAUGAACCAAUUUAAAUUAAGUUCAUUGGUUGACACCUGUACAUAAUUAGUCAUUCAGGUAAGAAGGGUCUGGGAUUCCUUUAUGAGGUGCAACCAAAACAGCUGUUAGACAUUGCAACAGGGAUAUUCUGGCAGGGUGUCUGUCUAGCAUUAGUUCUGAAUACGGUUGUGGUUUUGAUAACUAAUAUGGCUUUUGGACUCUCUUUGAGUGUUUCUUGGAUUUGUUGCCUGCUAAUUGGAGGGAUAACUUGUUUUACACUUAAAGGUAACGCUCAUGGGCAUCCUGCCUACACUGGACCUGAACCAACUGGAUCCUAUGCCCAAGCAAGUGUGGUGUCUGGUCCAAAUGCUAAAGCUACUGGCCACAAUGCCACGUCAGCAGAAGCUACUGGCCACAAUGCCACGUCAGCAGAAGCUACUGGCCACAAUGCCACGUCAGCAGAAGCAACUGGCCACAAUGCCACGUCAGCAGAAGCAACUGGCCACAAUGCCACGUCAGCAGAAGCAACUGGCCACAAUGCCACGUCAGCAGAAGCUACUGGCCACAAUGCCACGUCAGCAGAAGCUACUGGCCACAAUGCCAUGUCAAGUGUAAAGUCCGGCCCCAGCGCCUCAGCAGAAGCAACAGGCCCCGGCGCCUCAGCGGUAGCGUCCGGCCCCGGCGCCUCAGCAGAAGCAACAGGGCCCGGCGCCUCAGCAGAAGCAACAGGGCCCGGCGCCUCAGCAGAAGCAACAGGGCCCGGCGCCUCAGCAGUAGCGACAGGCCCCGGCACCUCAGCAGUAGCGACAGGCCCCGGCGCCUCAGCAGAAGCGACAGACCCCGGCGCCUCAGCAGAAGCGACAGGCCCCCGCGCCUCAGCAGAAGCGACAGGCCCCGGUGCCUCAGCAGAAGCGACAGGCCCCCGCGCCUCGUCAGCAGAAGCUACUGGCCACAAUGUCACGUCAGCAGAAGCUACUGGCCACAAUGCCAUGUCAAGUGUAAAGUCCGGCCCCGGCUCCUCAGUAGAAGCAACAGGCCCCGGCGCCUCAGCGGUAGCGUCCGGCCCCGGCGCCUCAGCGGAAGCAACAGGCCCCGGCGCCUCAGCAGAAGCAACAGGCCCCGGCGCCUCAGCAGAAGCAACAGGCCCCGGCGCCUCAGCAGAAGCAACAGGCCCCGGCGCCUCAGCAGAAGCAACAGGCCCCGGCGCCUCAGCAGAAGCGGCAGGCCCCGGCGCCUCAGCAGAAGCGACAAGCCUUGAACAGACGGCCCGACCACUCAACUAGGGAGAUCAUAAUUUGGUUUGGCCAACUCUUUAAUCGUCUUAUCCCUGUUACCUUUACCCUUUUCUGCAAGAGGCACAGUAACUGAGGUGGGGAAAUGUGUGAACUAAUGCACUUGUUUGAAAUGAGGAUCUCCUUCACUUGUACAUCGUCAUGCAAAUUGUAUACAGAGGUGGAUGAUACAAUGUUAUGAAUCGUUUUUAUAAACAUACGACUAAAUUGACUUCUGUAUGUAGCGAUAUUGCUGACACACUUUUAGGUUCUACGGUUAUGCUUUUGAUUUAGCCUGGUGUUCCUGCUACUCUUGCAUGAUUUGCUCAAUAAACCAUUUGACUUUCAAAAAACCUUGUCCUUAAAAUAUAAUCUCUUCUGCCUACCAUGUGCUUGCUGUUUGGUAACAGACUGUGGGCCUGGAGUAAAAGGGAAUUUGCGUUUUUGUUAUACACUUGUCUAAACAGAUUUGUUUCUGGUAGUUCAAAUUCUAAAGUUUUCUAACUUGUCAGAGCUCCCUCAUAUGUUCAUACACUACCUGUCCCUUAGUGUAGGCUGUUUGCUUUACAGUAAUCUGCCUUUUACCACCAAUGCCUAAAGAAUGUGACUGCAGUGUAACUCAUCGUCCCAUUACCUGUCACUAACCUGUCCCAGGGACGCUGAAGUUUCUCCUUGGCCUUAUUCAGAAACAUUAAAUCAACUUGACACAUUCUGACU